RNAcentral lists this unclassified non-coding RNA (340 nucleotides) under soil metagenome. RNAcentral's name for it is "partial contains 5.8S ribosomal RNA, internal transcribed spacer 2, and large subunit ribosomal RNA". The stretch from base 1 to 120 matches the Rfam family "5.8S ribosomal RNA", at positions 35 to 154 of the family's 154-position model. The record is from RNAcentral.
GAUGAAGAACGCAGCGAAAUGCGAUAAGUAGUGUGAAUUGCAGAAUUUAGUGAAUCAUCGAAUCUUUGAACGCACAUUGCGCCCUUUGGUAUUCCUUAGGGCAUGCCUGAUCGAGCGUCAUCUACACCCUCAAGCACAGCUUGGUGAUGGGCGCCUGUCCCGCCCCCCACGGGGGCGCGGACUCGCCUCAAAUGCAUUGGCGGCCGGCGACCUGGCUUCGAGCGCAGCAGAAACGCGUACUCGGGGACCGGGCGCCCGCUCCCAGAAGCCAACCCACCCAGUUUGACCUCGGAUCAGGUAGGGAUACCCGCUGAACUUAAGCAUAUCAAUAAGCGGAGGA